AUGUUACCUUGAAGAGAAAUGAUGACGUAAAAAUUAAGUUCAGUUGGAUUACGCUGAGGCCCAGCCUAGGUAACAAUUGUGAGACAAGAAGUUUGGAUUUCUUAGUUUCCUUCCAUUGGGGACUUUAUUUUGGGAUUCUGGCAAUGGAAUCUUAUUGCGAAACUUGUUUUGCACGCUUCUAUCUGUGUGCUUCUAAGUAAACUAUAAAUUCUGAUUCUUUAAGUGCUAUUUAAGUUUCCUACAAUUCCUAAUUUUCUUGGAUAUUUGGCACUAAGACCCUUGCUCUUUUUCUCUCAUUGGAUGAUUUAGUAAGUCCUACUGGCACUAUUCUAUUGAGUGGAGAUAAGGAUGACUGAGGAAGAGUACUCUUUGGCUUGUUGACACCAGCACAGCUGACACACCCAGAUAUCUGUUUGGUCUCCUGUGAACUUUCAACCAGGAUUUAAGGAUGCCACUCUGGUUAAAAGCUGAAACAACUUCAAGGAAACUUCAGGGAAAAGAGAAGGCCUGGAAUCUGAUCCUCCACUUCAGAGAACAGGGGUGGUGGAGUCUAUGGCCCUUCUCCUUGAAUCUGAGUGAAAUUAGUGAGUCUUUCAAUCCAAAGACUACAGUCAUACCUCAACUAUCUACAGAGGACUGGUUCCAGGACUCCCAUGGAUCCCAAAAUCCAAGGAUGCUUCGAAUCCCUUAUAUAAAAUGGCAUGGUAUUUGCAUAUAACCUACAUGCAUCUUCAAAUAUGUUAAACCAUCUCUAGAUUACUUAUAAUACCAAAUACAAUGUAAUGCUAUGUAAACAGUUGUUACAAUGUAUUGUCAAAGACAAGCUCUCCUUGCCAAUCCCUGACCAAAUGAGAGAUUCAUGAGCAAAAUAAAUAGUUGCUGAUAUUUAAGGCACUAAGUUUGGGGCAAUGUAUUACACAGCAAUAAAUAACUGGAACAGCAUAGUAAAUUCUAGUUAAAAAUACUAAACUACUAAGUUUUAGUUAACAUACAUGCUCAAGUUAAGGGUGUGGUAUACUAACAACUGCAACUUACUUUGAAAAGCAUAAAAAAAGACACUAGAAGAAGACAGGAUGGAUAGAUGGACAAGAUAGAAGACAAUAACAAAUAGAACAAAAUGUUGUGAAAUUAUAUUCUACAAUUAUUUUAAAGUCUGUGUGGUUUGAAAAAUUGUACGAUAAAAUGAAGAGUGAAAUAAAGACAUUUCCAUACAAACAAAA
This 1220-nucleotide long non-coding RNA is filed under the name Homo sapiens (human). Its description in RNAcentral is "small nucleolar RNA host gene 14". The stretch from base 1 to 62 matches the Rfam family "Small nucleolar RNA SNORD115", at positions 21 to 82 of the family's 82-position model. Lineage: Eukaryota; Metazoa; Chordata; Mammalia; Primates; Hominidae. The record is from RNAcentral.